AAUUUUGUACAAUGGGGGAAACGCUCAUCUAGCCAUCCCGCGCGUAUGAUGAAGGCCUUCGGGACGUAGUGUACUUCUGGCAUAGAAGAAAAGGUAUCUCCUAAUACGAGAUACUGCUGACGGUAUCUGCAGAAUAAGCACCGGAUAACUACGUGCCAGCAGCCGCGGUAAUCCGUAGGGUGCAAGCGUUAAUCGGAAUUACUGGGCGGAAAGCAUGUGUAGGCGGUUCGGAAAGGAAGAUGUAAAUGCCCAGGGCUAAACCUUGGAACUGCAUUUUUAACUGCCGAGCUAGAGUAUGUCAGAGGGGGGUAGAAUUCCACGUGUAGCAGUGAAAUGCGUGGAUAUGUGGAGGAAUACCGAUGGCGAAGGCAGCCCCCUGGGAUAAUACUGACGCUCAGACACGAAAGCGUGGGGAGCAAACA
This 422-nucleotide ribosomal RNA is filed under the name uncultured bacterium. RNAcentral's name for it is "partial 16S ribosomal RNA". It matches the Rfam family "Bacterial small subunit ribosomal RNA", at positions 360 to 774 of the family's 1533-position model. The record is from RNAcentral.